AGGACGAACGCUGGCGGCGCGCCUAAUGCAUGCAAGUCGAGCGACGCACACCGGAGGGGUAACCCAUCGGUAUGACGGAGCGGCGAACGGGUGAGUAACACGUGAGCAACCUGCCCCACAGACCGGGAUAGCCCAGGGAAACUUGGAUUAAUACCGGAUAUCCUCGAGGAACCACAUGGCUCUUUGAGGAAAUGCCUUUGUGCUGUGGGAUGGGCUCGCGGCUUAUCAGCUAGUUGGUGGGGUAACGGCCUACCAAGGCAUCGACGAGUAGCUGGUCUGAGAGGACGAUCAGCCACACUGGGACUGAGACACGGCCCAGACUCCUACGGGAGGCAGCAGCAGGGAAUCUUGCGCAAUGGGCGAAAGCCUGACGCAGCGACGCCGCGUGGGGAUGAAGGCCUUCGGGUUGUAAACCCCGUUUCGAGGUAGGACGAAAUUGACGGUACCUCCGAAAGGAACGCCCCGGACCAACUACGUGCCAGCACGCCGAC
Molecule: ribosomal RNA, 491 nt
Filed under: uncultured soil bacterium
Lineage: Bacteria
Description: bacterial SSU rRNA
Rfam family: Bacterial small subunit ribosomal RNA
Source: RNAcentral